AAAAACAUAGUAUAAUUAAAUACAUUUCAUUUACACUGAGAAUAUACUUAGAUGUUAAGUUGUUUUUA
This 68-nucleotide transfer RNA is filed under the name Clavatula tripartita. RNAcentral's name for it is "tRNA-Val". Lineage: Eukaryota; Metazoa; Mollusca; Gastropoda; Neogastropoda; Clavatulidae. The record is from RNAcentral.